GCCAUCCAUCGAACUGAACGCACCUUGAAAGUCUGAAACAGGCUUUCUCUCGUCUCCGACCUCUCUCUGCCGUCCAUCGAUCGCCGCCUCCGUUUCCUGUGGCCACGCCCCGCCUUGCCUCCUCGGAGCCUCCGUCCCAGCACCGCAAGAAGCAGCUAGCAGCAGUGCGCGAUUGCGCCGCGCCACCGCCCUCGACCAGCCUUCCCCGUCGCGUCACCCUGCCCCGCCUCGGCGCCUCCGUCCGGAGACUCCGAAGCAACAGCAUUUCCAUCGCCCAAGUUCCCAACAGCAGGUAAGGUGGCUAUUAGGGUGUUUUGGAAAUUGGAAGGUUGAUUUUUGUUUUUUGUGUUUUUGCUAUUUGAAUUGGAAGUAGCGCGUUUGAAUCCAAUUUUCCGCUGCUUAUUGUGCUUGUAGUAUCAAGAUGAACCCCGGCAAUCUUAAUCUAUGGCGAAUGAAAUCCCUAAUUCUCGAAGAAAUGCUGAAAGGCCUGAGAAAUUACAGCACGAAAUCACGUCGGAUGGUGGAUUUGAGGAAGCUCAGGCCUAUGAUACUGAAGCGAAUUGAGCAACGUGCUGAGGAUUAUCCUGUCAAACCCAUACUUCCGGUGGCGCGUGAAGUCCUCCGUGCCCGAAGCGCCCUCUACAGUGGAGUGUCAACUCUCAUCCGCCACAUUCCGGUCUGGGCUUGCAAAUACUGCCCAGAAGCUUAUAUAGGUGAAGGUGGUCAUUUGAUUCAAACUUGCCAUGGCUACCGGCGCCAUGGGACGAAAAAGGUCCAUGAAUGGGUAAAUGGGAGUGUAGACGACAUUAUAGUCCCUGUGGAAUCUUUUCACUUGCAUAAAAUGUUUCAGAACAUAAUCAAACAUCACGAAAGAUUCGAUCAUCAACGUGUUCCUGCAGUCGUGGAGCUCUGCCUGCAGGCAGGGGUAGAUGCCAAUGAUCCAAGCGUUACCUCUAGUGUGAUAACUCCAGCCAACAAUGAAGAUAACUGUAGCAGCUCCCAGUCGUUAUCAGACGAUGAUUUGAGAUUGAUAGGUCGACAAACUCUGGAUGCAUGGGAGAAGCUUCGAUCUGGAGUCCACAAGUUAUUGUUUGUCUACCCAGCAAGAGUCUGUAAACACUGUUCUGAAGUCCAUGUAGGGCCAUCGGGGCACAAGGCUCGGAUGUGUGGGGUGUUCAAGUACGAGAGCUGGCAUGGGACUCACUUCUGGAAGAAAGCGAGGGUAGACGACUUGGUUCCUCCUAAAACAGUCUGGUCCAGACGUCGCCAAGAUCCGCCUAUACUCGUUGAUCGAGGACGCGAUUAUUAUGGCCAUGCGCCCGCUGUUGUGGAUCUUUGCAGUAAGGCUGGUGCACUGGUGCCAUGUAAAUACUUUACCAUGAUGAAAAUGGAUGGCUUGACUGCUCCUGUUUGAAUCCAAUCAUCUUGGUUUGUGAAGAUGCAAGCAAGAAUGGACUUCUUCUCUCUAGUCAGUAGUCUAGAGAUUGAUCACCUUAGUUCCAAAACUGUAGUUGGUGUUAGUUUCUGUAUAGCUUCAAUUAGAGCUAUCAAAAUUCGGGUUGUCAGGUUAAACUAAAGGAAUGGCAGCAGACUGCUGGUGCAGUUGGGUCAGCUGUCGCCUGUCAGAGCAUUGUUGGAUCCGCGGAGAGCUGAUUGGAUAGCUGCUCUUGGGGAGACAACUGGAAAGCCUGCAUUUGAAAGGGUUCUUGAGAGAAUGAAGAGGAGUCGAGAGGGCAGUCAGUUGUUGCAAAAGUGGCUGGCUAUGUUUUUUUAUCUCUUUUAGGUUCAUGGAAAUUAGGAGAUUAAUGCCUUUUAGGUUCAAGUGAUUUUUGGUAUCCUUGACUACAAAUCUUGUUGUUGCAGGGAAUUUGUUCUACCAGCCUAAUAUGAGCGCCAUUUUGAUGAGCUCCUCCUCCCCCACUACGUGCAGCCUCAAAUCGGCAUGUGCUACAUUGUAUACCAUAAUUUUACUGUGUUGUGAUGGAUAUGGUGCACCAAGGUACUACACUAUGCUGCUACUGCAUUUACAUGCUAAAUACAUCUGUAUCUAAAUUUUUAUCAUUAAUUUUAGUUUCUUUUCUUUA
RNA transcript from Salvia miltiorrhiza (redroot sage), 2084 nucleotides. It is a transcript of the gene named APO protein 4, mitochondrial, with no coding region annotated. The transcript has 4 exons. Lineage: Eukaryota; Viridiplantae; Streptophyta; Magnoliopsida; Lamiales; Lamiaceae. The record is from RefSeq and is a predicted model, not a curated record.